GCCAGCGUGGCGGAAUUGGCAGACGCAGCGGAUUCAAAAUCCGCCGCCCGAAAGGGCUUGAGGGUUCGACUCCCUCCUCCGGCA
Molecule: transfer RNA, 84 nt
Filed under: Phycisphaerales bacterium
Lineage: Bacteria; Pseudomonadati; Planctomycetota; Phycisphaerae; Phycisphaerales
Description: tRNA-Leu
Rfam family: tRNA
About the family: Transfer RNA (tRNA) molecules are approximately 80 nucleotides in length. Their secondary structure includes four short double-helical elements and three loops (D, anti-codon, and T loops).
Source: RNAcentral